GAUGAACGCUGGCGGCGUGCCUAAUACAUGCAAGUCGAGCGAACAGACGAGGAGCUUGCUCCUCUUACGUUAGCGGCGGACGGGUGAGUAACACGUGGAUAACCUGCCUAUGAGACUGGGAUAACUUCGGGAAACCGGAGCUAGUACCGGAUAAUAGAUUGAACGUAAGGGUUCAAUAGUGAAAGACGGAUUUGCUGUCACUUAUAGAUGGAUGCGCGCCGGUUUAGCUAGUGGGUAGGGUAACGGCUUACCAAGGCAACGAUGCGUAGCCGACCUGAGAGGGUGAUCAGCCACACUGGAACUGAGACACGGUCCAGACUCCUACGGGAGGCAGCAGUAGGGAAUAUUACGCAAUGGGCGAAAGCCUGACGGAGCCACGCCGCGUGAGUGAUGAAGGUCUUCGGAUCGUAAAACUCUGUUAUUAGGGAGGAAGAAAUGUGUAAGUAACUAUUCACGUCUUGACGGUACCUACUCAGAAAGCAACGGCUAACUACGUG
Molecule: ribosomal RNA, 497 nt
Filed under: uncultured bacterium
Lineage: Bacteria
Description: partial 16S ribosomal RNA
Rfam family: Bacterial small subunit ribosomal RNA
Source: RNAcentral